RNAcentral lists this ribosomal RNA (297 nucleotides) under Staphylococcus aureus. RNAcentral describes it as "partial 23S ribosomal RNA". It matches the Rfam family "Bacterial large subunit ribosomal RNA", at positions 114 to 404 of the family's 2925-position model. Lineage: Bacteria; Bacillati; Bacillota; Bacilli; Caryophanales; Staphylococcaceae. The record is from RNAcentral.
CCGAAUGGGGAAACCCAGCAUGAGUUAUGUCAUGUUAUCGAUAUGUGAAUACAUAGCAUAUCAGAAGGCACACCCGGAGAACUGAAACAUCUUAGUACCCGGAGGAAGAGAAAGAAAAUUCGAUUCCCUUAGUAGCGGCGAGCGAAACGGGAAGAGCCCAAACCAACAAGCUUGCUUGUUGGGGUUGUAGGACACUCUAUACGGAGUUACAAAGGACGACAUUAGACGAAUCAUCUGGAAAGAUGAAUCAAAGAAGGUAAUAAUCCUGUAGUCGAAAAUGUUGUCUCUCUUGAGUGG